UACGUAGGGUGCGAGCGUUAAUCGGAAUUACUGGGCGUAAAGGGUGCGUAGGCGGAUUAUCAAGUUAGAUGUGAAAUACCUGGGCUUAACCUAGGGCUUGCAUUUAAGACUGUUAGUCUAGAGUAUAUCAGAGGGGGGUAGAAUUCCAGGUGUAGCAGUGAAAUGCGUAGAGAUUUGGAGGAAUACCGAAGGCGAAGGCAGCCCCCUGGGAAGAUACUGACGCUGAGGCACGAAAGCGUGGGGAGCAAACAGG
Molecule: ribosomal RNA, 253 nt
Filed under: uncultured bacterium
Lineage: Bacteria
Description: partial 16S ribosomal RNA
Rfam family: Bacterial small subunit ribosomal RNA
Source: RNAcentral